GACGAACGCUGGCGGCGUGCUUAACACAUGCAAGUCGAGCGGUAAGGCCCUUUCGGGGGUACACGAGCGGCGAACGGGUGAGUAACACGUGGGUGACCUGCCCUCAGCUCUGGGAUAAGCCUGGGAAACUGGGUCUAAUACUGGAUAUGACUCCACGGUGCAUGUCGUGGGGUGGAAAGCCUUGUGCGGCUGAGGAUGGGCCCGCGGCCUAUCAGCUUGUUGGUGGGGUGAGGCCUACCAAGGCGACGACGGGUAGCCGGCGUGAGAGGGCGACCGGCCACACUGGGACUGAGACACGGCCCAGACUCCUACGGGAGGCAGCAGUGGGGAAUCUUGCGCAAUGGGCGAAAGCCUGACGCAGCGACGCCGCGUGAGGGAUGACGGCCU
This 387-nucleotide ribosomal RNA is filed under the name uncultured bacterium. RNAcentral describes it as "bacterial SSU rRNA". It matches the Rfam family "Bacterial small subunit ribosomal RNA", at positions 28 to 417 of the family's 1533-position model. The record is from RNAcentral.